AGGUUCGGUUCCGGCACUAUGUUCAGAUCCUCAACUAUCUAGGGUUUCGGCGAACUAUAUAAAGGACCCAAUGACUCGAUCCAGUGAACAGGUGAAGGUGGCGCCAACUAAACUCAGGAUUACUACUGUCGUUGAUACCAAAGUACCUGUUUGUCCUCUUUACAGUCUUUAUAUAAUGUUAAAUGAUUUAUUGUUUUAGUUUCAAAGGACUCUUACAAAAUAAAUAUAUUCUCUACUCAUAUUCCAGUGAAAAUAUGUCUCAGGCAAUCUAAAGGUGAAGCUUCUAUUGUUGUUAACGAUGGUGUGCGGUACUUUGUCGGUUUCCAGUCAGUUAACCACCCCGAAAACCGAAAGCCCGAGACCAGGAUGCAGACAAACAUCCUUAACCGCUCAAUCUCGGGUCAAAUUUUAAGACAGCAUGCAAGACUUCAAAGAGCAUACUCGGACCACAAUCUGUGUUAUUCUGCUAAUAAUGUUCAGGCGUCGAUGAAUCAACCGAAGUUGAAAAACAGCCGUUCAAUGGGAGUUUUCAACUUGAAACUGUCAAGCUUGAUUGUUCCAAAUGCACUCAAGACAGAUGUUGGUGAAAUAAUGGCGAAGGAACGGAAGAAAGGGGCAAAACAAUGAACUCGACGGUGAUAACGAAGAAGAAAAGGGAUGUGAUGAAGGUUGUAAGGUGGAUUACAACGAUGACGAAGACAGUGUUAUCGUUAAUCAGGAGACGUUCUCUAGAAUGUUGAAGCACGUAUCUUGGUCCGAUACCAAGCUUUUAUCACAACUAGCUUUUCUCUGUAACAUGGCUUACGUUAUCCCAGAGAUUGAGGUAUUUGUGUUUUGUUGAUAUGUUACCACCAGUGUAUAAGACACAUUUGGCUUAAGAAACAACUCUUAAUCUUUGGCUAGAAACGCUCAUCACACAUCUAGAAGGAGGGUGAUUUUUGCAGGUCAGCAGCAUAAGCGGAUCUCUGUGAAACUCAAGGUCUAGGAGAGAGGGAGCUAUAGAGAGAAAGAAACAGUCGCAAUCUUUAGUUCAGCACCAUUUAGACCAUCGAUCACCACCGCUGGCUACCGUCACCGACUUUGUCUCCCACAAACACCAUUGCACCUGCAAACCCCCUAAUCGAACACUAGGGCAUCCGAAUAUCCUUCAGUCGAAUACCCAGUCGGAGUGGGAGGAUUCGAUGAGUUGUGUAGUGUUUGAAGUGGAGGUUUCGUCGGAGAAUAGGUUUUUAUCGAUAAAGUGUCUCAACAAGUCAUAAAAUAUCCUCAUGUGUGUCGGCGAACAGGAUCGUUGCCGGGGAUUAACAUACCCGUCAACAGUUCAAGUGUCCUCCUACUAACGGUUCGGUGGCCAACCCGUGCCGUGAUGCACUAUUGACUUAACGACGGUGUAAUGGAAACCGUACCCUGUUUCCGGUGUCGACGCUAUCUUCUUCACAGAGCGUUCUCAGUUCGUUUUCCUAACAUAUAUAUUAGAGGUGGUUUCUUAGAGGUUUUUACGACGGUCAUCUGUAUAUGGUCCAGAUAAUCAUUAUUAGAGAACAUGAAAGAUAAGUGGAAUUAAGGGAAAACAGGUGAACAUAUGUUUCUUAGAAUUGCUUUUGGUUUUGUUAUUCCUAUUUUUUUCCAAUAUAUGUGAGUUAGGUAUGAGUAGCUAUGCUCUGUUUCACUUUUAUCUUCAAAGAAUGCCACCUCCUGGACUCUCCUGGCCAUCUUCUUUAAUCACAUGAAUAUAUCUUUUAAUCAUCAAA
Molecule: long non-coding RNA, 1751 nt
Organism: Helianthus annuus (common sunflower)
Lineage: Eukaryota; Viridiplantae; Streptophyta; Magnoliopsida; Asterales; Asteraceae
Exons: 5
Source: RefSeq, a predicted model, not a curated record